RNAcentral lists this unclassified non-coding RNA (320 nucleotides) under uncultured bacterium. Its description in RNAcentral is "contains 16S-23S intergenic spacer region". The record is from RNAcentral.
GGCCGCCAUCACCGCGGUGUCGCGCGCCUGCCCGCGGAGCUGCAGCUCCGCCGCGACCUCCCAGCGGCGGAGCGAGAAAUAGCCGAGCGCGGCCAGGACGAAGGCGGCGGCGAACACCGCGCCGAAGAUCAGGAGCGGGGCGGGGCGCGCACCCACCUACGGCUCGAGCAGGAGGCGCCGGAUCAGUUGCUCCAUCUCGGAGUAGGCCCCCUCCCCGAUGUGGGUGAAGCGGACGACGCCCUUCUUGUCCACGAUGACCGCGGCCGGCCAUGCCCAGUUGCGGUAGCGGCGCCAGAUCGCGAAGUCAUUGUCCUGCACGA